AACACGAAAACUAAACCUGCUAAAUUUAACAAGCUGAGGAUUACCCCUCAGUCGUGUUG
This 59-nucleotide transfer RNA is filed under the name Draco maculatus. RNAcentral's name for it is "tRNA-Ser". The record is from RNAcentral. Lineage: Eukaryota; Metazoa; Chordata; Lepidosauria; Squamata; Agamidae.